CUGCUCUCCGCGCGCUCGCCUCUGCCGCCGCAUUUCCCCUUGGAAUUAAGUAUGUAGCGACGUCCUGUGGCGCAUUGCGACAAUCUGCGCCAAAGCAAUUGUCGAUUAGCAGACGUGGUCCCCUGGUGAAGUUCACCUUGAAUACUCGGAUACCUACUACAUUCCUGCUUCUUCGUGUUAAUUAUUAAUGUUUUCUGAUAUUUGGCUUGCCAUAAUAUGGUCAUCAUGAAAAGAUGUUGGAAGCCUUGUUAGAUAAUAUUUUUUUCAGGACAAUUAUUAUUAAGUACUUACACUUUUGAACUUUAACAAUCAUUUUAUGAUACUGGAAGUAUCAAAAAGAACGUUACUUACAUAGAUUUACUACAUCCAUGUUACUUACAUCAAGAUUGUCUUUAGUACGCAUAAGUCGCCUAGCAUAAGUCUCCAAUCAAUUUCAUACUUUAAAGUGCACUAGCAAAGAGUCGAACCCGAUGCGAUUUCUUAGAGGACAAAUCUGUACAUGAUAAUGCAAAAUAAAAAAUAUAUAGAAAUCCACUAUACUUUUGAUAGUUACUUAUGUCCCGGAAUAAGACGAAUAAGUAGUUAUCACGCACUAUAUUAUCGGCGAUGAUGAGUGCAUCUUCUUAGGAAGGCAACCUAAAGCAGCUGUAUGUUGUGUUCUGACGGCU
Molecule: long non-coding RNA, 668 nt
Organism: Pectinophora gossypiella (pink bollworm)
Lineage: Eukaryota; Metazoa; Arthropoda; Insecta; Lepidoptera; Gelechiidae
Exons: 3
Source: RefSeq, a predicted model, not a curated record